This 429-nucleotide ribosomal RNA is filed under the name Chloroflexota bacterium. RNAcentral's name for it is "Chloroflexi bacterium partial 16S ribosomal RNA". It matches the Rfam family "Bacterial small subunit ribosomal RNA", at positions 355 to 776 of the family's 1533-position model. The record is from RNAcentral. Lineage: Bacteria; Bacillati; Chloroflexota.
UGGGGAAUAUUGCACAAUGGGCGCAAGCCUGAUGCAGCCAUGCCGCGUGUAUGAAGAAGGCCUUCGGGUUGUAAAGUACUUUCAGCGGGGAGGAAGGGAGUAAAGUUAAUACCUUUGCUCAUUGACGUUACCCGCAGAAGAAGCACCGGCUAACUCCGUGCCAGCAGCCGCGGUAAUACGGAGGGUGCAAGCGUUAAUCGGAAUUACUGGGCGUAAAGCGCACGCAGGCGGUUUGUUAAGUCAGAUGUGAAAUCCCCGGGCUCAACCUGGGAAGUGCAUCUGAUACUGGCAAGCUUGAGUGUCGUAGAGGGGGGUAGAAUUCCAGGUGUGGCGGUGAAAUGCGUAGAGGUCGGGAGGAAUAGCGGUGGCGAAGGCGGCCCCCUGGACGAAGACUGACGCUCAGGUGCGAGAGGGUGGGGAGCAAACAGG